RNAcentral lists this ribosomal RNA (251 nucleotides) under uncultured bacterium. RNAcentral's name for it is "partial 16S ribosomal RNA". It matches the Rfam family "Bacterial small subunit ribosomal RNA", at positions 30 to 289 of the family's 1533-position model. The record is from RNAcentral.
UUGAACGCUGGCGGCAUGCCUUACACAUGCAAGUCGAACGGUAGAGGGGCAACCCUUGAGAGUGGCGAACGGGUGAGUAAUAUAUCGGAACGUGCCCAGUCGUGGGGGAUAACGCAGCGAAAGCUGCGCUAAUACCGCAUACGAUCUAAGGAUGAAAGCGGGGAUCGCAAGACCUCGCGCGAUUGGAGCGGCCGAUAUCAGAUUAGGUAGUUGGUGGGGUAAAAGCCUACCAAGCCGACGAUCUGUAGCUG